GGAAGGGUGGCGGAGAGGUCUAACGCGCCGCACUUGAAAUGCGGAGUGGGGCAACCCACCGUGAGUUCGAAUCUCACCCCUUCCG
RNAcentral lists this transfer RNA (85 nucleotides) under Candidatus Kaiserbacteria bacterium RIFCSPHIGHO2_01_FULL_56_24. Its description in RNAcentral is "tRNA-Ser". It matches the Rfam family "tRNA". Rfam says of the family: Transfer RNA (tRNA) molecules are approximately 80 nucleotides in length. Lineage: Bacteria; Candidatus Kaiseribacteriota. The record is from RNAcentral.